This is a non-coding RNA of Manduca sexta (tobacco hornworm), 73 nucleotides long. The record is from the annotation of a RefSeq genome assembly. Lineage: Eukaryota; Metazoa; Arthropoda; Insecta; Lepidoptera; Sphingidae.
GCUCCAGUAGCGCAAUUGGUAGCGCACGGUACUUAUAAUACCGGGGAUGUGAGUUCGAGCCUCACCUGGAGCG